UAAGACGAACCGUGCGAACGUUGUUCGGAAUCACUGGGCUUAAAGGGCGCGUAGGCGGGCGGACACGUCCGGGGUGAAAUCGUUCGGCUUAACCGGACCAGGGCCUCGGAUACGGGCCGCCUCGAGGGGGGUAGGGGCACGCGGAACUGCGGGUGGAGCGGUGAAAUGCGUUGAUAUCCGCAGGAACGCCGGUGGCGAAAGCGGCGUGCUGGAUCCCCACUGACGCUGAGGCGCGAAAGCCAGGGGAGCGAACGGGAUUAGAUACCCCGGUAGUCCUGGCCCUAAACGAUGGGUACUGGGUAGCGGACCAGGCAUGGGUUCGCUGCCGGAGCAAAAGUGUUAAGUACCCCGCCUGGGGAGUAUGGCCGCAAGGCUG
RNAcentral lists this ribosomal RNA (376 nucleotides) under uncultured bacterium. RNAcentral describes it as "bacterial SSU rRNA". It matches the Rfam family "Bacterial small subunit ribosomal RNA", at positions 521 to 896 of the family's 1533-position model. The record is from RNAcentral.